UACGUAGGGUGCAAGCGUUAAUCGGAAUUACUGGGCGUAAAGCGUGCGCAGGCGGUUAUGUAAGACAGGUGUGAAAUCCCAGGGCUUAACCUUGGAACUGCAUUUGUGACUGCAUAGCUAGAGUACGGUAGAGGGGGAUGGAAUUCCGCGUGUAGCAGUGAAAUGCGUAGAUAUUGGGAAGAACACCGGUGGCGAAAGCGCCUUGCUGGGUCUGCACUGACACUGAGGGACGAA
RNAcentral lists this ribosomal RNA (234 nucleotides) under uncultured bacterium. Its description in RNAcentral is "partial 16S ribosomal RNA". It matches the Rfam family "Bacterial small subunit ribosomal RNA", at positions 524 to 757 of the family's 1533-position model. The record is from RNAcentral.